GAUGAACGCUGGCGGCGUGCCUAAUACAUGCAAGUCGAGCGAACAGACGAGGAGCUUGCUCCUCGGACGUUAGCGGCGGACGGGUGAGUAACGCGUGGAUAACCUACCUAUAAGACGGGUAUACUUCGGGAAACCGGACCUAAUACCGGUAAAUAUAUCUAACCGCAUGGGUCGAUAGGGAAAGACGGGUUUGCGGUCACGGAUACGUGGAUCCGCGCCGCAUUAGCUGGGUGGUCAGGUAACAGCGUACCAAGGCAAAGAGGCGCAGCCGACGUGAGAGGGUGAUAGGCGGCCCUGGAAGUGGGACGCGGUCCAGGCUCCUGCGGGAGGGCGCAGUAGGGUAUGGUACGCAACGGGCGGAAGCAUGACGGAGCAGGGCCGCGUGAGUGAUGAAGGUCCUGGGUUCGGAAAACUCUGUUAUUAGGGAAGAACAAAUGUGUAAGUAACUAUGCACGUCGUGACGGUAACGGAUCAGAAAGCCCCGGCUAACUACGUG
Molecule: ribosomal RNA, 496 nt
Filed under: uncultured bacterium
Lineage: Bacteria
Description: partial 16S ribosomal RNA
Rfam family: Bacterial small subunit ribosomal RNA
Source: RNAcentral